This 30-nucleotide ribosomal RNA is filed under the name Sanionia uncinata. Its description in RNAcentral is "partial 18S ribosomal RNA". Lineage: Eukaryota; Viridiplantae; Streptophyta; Bryopsida; Hypnales; Amblystegiaceae. The record is from RNAcentral.
CUUCCCGUAAGGGUACCUGCGGAAGGAUCA